Molecule: ribosomal RNA, 200 nt
Filed under: uncultured bacterium
Lineage: Bacteria
Description: partial 16S ribosomal RNA
Rfam family: Bacterial small subunit ribosomal RNA
Source: RNAcentral
AACGAACGCUGGCGGCGUGGAUUAGGCAUGCAAGUCGUGCGCGAAAGGGUCCUUCGGGGCCUGAGUAGAGCGGCGAACUGGUGAGUACAAGGUGAAUAACGUGCCCUUGAGUGGGGGAUAACCCCGCGAAAGCGGGGCUAAUACCGCAUGGUUUCUUUGGGUCUUCGGGCUUGGAGAAUAAAGCAGUAAUGCGCUUAAGG